AUUGAACGCUGGCGGCAUGCUUUACACAUGCAAGUCGAACGGCAGCGGGGAGGAGCUUGCUUCUCUGCCGGCGCGUGGCGCACGGGUGAGUAAUACAUCGGAACGUGUCGAGAAGAGGGGGAUAACCACCCGAAAGGGUGACUAAUACCGCAUAAAUUCUGAGGAAGAAAGCUGGGGACCUAGGAAUAGGCCUAGCGCUUUUUGAGCGGCCGAUGUCGGAUUAGCUAGUUGGUGAGGUAAAGGCUCACCAAGGCGAAGAUCUGUAGCGGGUCUGAGAGGAUGAUCCGCCACACUGGAACUGAGACACGGCCCAGACUCCUACGGGAGGCAGCAGUGGGGAAUUUUGGACAAUGGGGGCAACCCUGAUCCAGCCAUGCCGCGUGUAUGAAGAAGGCCUUAGGGUUGUAAAGUACUUUUGUUAGGGAAGAAAAGUCAGCUGUGAAUAAUGGCUGAUACUGACGGUACCUAAAGAAUAAGCACCGGCUAACUACGUG
This 494-nucleotide ribosomal RNA is filed under the name uncultured bacterium. RNAcentral's name for it is "partial 16S ribosomal RNA". It matches the Rfam family "Bacterial small subunit ribosomal RNA", at positions 30 to 507 of the family's 1533-position model. The record is from RNAcentral.